CGAUCGACGAUCAUGUGUAUGAUCGAUAUUCCUCUAAAAUCAUCGAUCGACACUUAUAUCUGGCCAAUAGAAAAACCAAGAAAGAAAACACCGAUCGGUUUGUUUAUAAGUGUUUGAGCUCUAUAAUAUCAUGCAUACAACUUGUUAGACAUCUGUAGGAUUAUAAUCCUGAUUUCCUGAAUAGAAACCCUAAGUCUAGCUAUUUCAUAUAAGUACCAAAAACCCAAUCAAAUCAAUCGAGCAACUGCCUUGCUCACAAACAUGCUAUUUACAUCAUAAUCAACCUAGCUUAAUCACUCUGAUUAGUUUUAUUAGGUUCCCUAGCUCCAUGUGAAUUUGAUCCCUAAAUACUACAACUGAACCUCUUAUUUGAAAGAGUAAUUCACUUCUUAGGGUAAUGUGAGUGAGAUCAGGCCCUCA
Molecule: long non-coding RNA, 420 nt
Filed under: Brassica napus (rape)
Lineage: Eukaryota; Viridiplantae; Streptophyta; Magnoliopsida; Brassicales; Brassicaceae
Description: long non-coding RNA (BNAP_LNC011720)
Source: RNAcentral